Molecule: transfer RNA, 71 nt
Filed under: Phrynosoma platyrhinos (Desert horned lizard)
Lineage: Eukaryota; Metazoa; Chordata; Lepidosauria; Squamata; Phrynosomatidae
Description: tRNA-OTHER
Source: RNAcentral
GCCAGCAUGAUGUAGUGGUUUGAGUGUUCAACUGCAACUCUGGAGACCAGGGUUCGAUUCCCAGUUUGGCC